RNAcentral lists this long non-coding RNA (645 nucleotides) under Androctonus crassicauda. The record is from RNAcentral. Lineage: Eukaryota; Metazoa; Arthropoda; Arachnida; Scorpiones; Buthidae.
CUGGUGGACUGCAAGCAGCCCGCUGAAAUGUGACAGACUGCCGUGGCAGUGAGUGCCAUGACAAUGAGGCUUCCUUGUUCACUCUGCUAGCAAGUAAGAGAUGUUGGAAAGACACUAGCAUGUGGAAGCUCUUGCCCCCAUUCCUUGGCCAGAUUUGGGUGCUCUGCUGCACCUGCUUCUCAUACAGCUUUUGGGGAUCAUAGUGUAGACUAUCAACAGGAUUCAAAAUGUCUUUCUUUGUAUCGACCAUGGAAGGGAUUCUGAAGAGGGUAUAUUGGGACUGUUCUGAAGAACAUCCCUCUAAAACGUGUCCUGUGGCUUGCUAGAUAUCAGUUGCCUUCUUUUGUUCAGCUGAGGAACUUGAAUGCCUUACCCAAUCACUCAACUGGUAGUAAGCUCGUUUUGUAAAUGUGAAAGUGGAUGUUAGAAGUGGCAUUCAUGGAUGUUCAAUGUAAUCAAUAGACCGUAGUGGCCUGGAUGCUUUAACAAGCAAAAUUCUGCAUUUCUGCCCUCCACCCCAUCCUGUGUCCCCGGCACACUGUGUGAUCUUGAACCUGACCAGUGAUAUUUGAUGCCCUCCCUCUCCCCUGUGCUACCACCAUGUCUGGGACUGAGAUGUGGUGGCCGUGUUUUGCUGUUGACGUG